CAAAAAGGAUCAUCACUUUAUUAAACUAAAGUCAUUUCAAAUUAGCAACAUAAAACAAUCAUAUGUAAACAAUGUACAAAUGCAUCAGCGUUAAAGAGAUUUCAAGACUUCAUAGAUAUGUUUGAUCUAAAUGCAUAAAUACAGUAUGCAUAUUUGUUACUGAUUUAUUGAGAGGCUAAACUAGACGUUGUAAGUUUAACAAUUAGCAUAUACACACGACUCUUUGAGUUCAAAUAAAAACUGACACAUGGUCUCAGCUACAAACUGCAACAGUCGCCAUUUAAGUAGUGUAAUUUACUCCCUUGCAAACUUGCAAAAAGCAGCAACAAAAUGGCAACAAAAAAGUGACACUGUAGUGAAAUGACAAAGGACUGGAGCCUUUAGACCCGCCUCUCUUUAGAGAGGUUAGAAGCAGUAACAAUAAAACCAUUUUAUAUCAACAAAAACACCAUCUACUCUAUCUAUGGCAAUAGCUGCAAUACUGACUGAUAAAUAACAAAAGGAACAUCUUAUUUUUCUCCCCAAGUUUAAAAAGCCAGUUUCUCCUGUGCUGAGCUCCUUGUCUGUGCUAACUCCACUGUUAGGGAGGGAGCAGACAUGCGUGUCUUUUCAUAUGAUGUCACCAGGUGCCUCAAUGCAGACACCCCAACCAGCCAGUAGUAGACUUUUCACACUGUCCUUAGCCCCAGGCUGGGGGGGGGGGGGGUUGUUCCCUUAUCCACUGUAAGGGUCGAAGGACAGAGGGGUGUUGUAUGCUGCCUCUGAUGCAAAUUGUGAUUUGUGAUAUUGGUCUUUAUAAAUAAAAUCGAAUUGAACUGAAUAAAAAAAAAAAAAAUCACACUGGCACAAUCCUGGCACAUGCUAAGUGUGCCGACUUUAGCCUGCUCUGGAGCAGAGUUAGCCCCGAGUUUGCAGGGUUAUCUCCUGAGAAUGGACUUCACCUGGGGCUAAAAGUUGCCAGUGUGAGAAACAAGGCUAAGUAAACAAUAGCGUGUUAGAAUGUUAACAUGCAUUAUGUGUUCAAACAAACAUUUAGCCCUGGGAUAGUGAAAAUGAGUUGUGUAGCCCUGGGCUUAGCUUGACCCUUGGUAAACAAUGUGUAAGUAAAAAUGGGCUACAUUAGCUGAGGCUAAGAGAAUGCCGUGUGAAAAGCCGAUAUGAGUCUCUAGUGCAGUGACAAAGACAUGAUCCCUCACCAGCUUCCCAUCAACAAACACUGAGAAAAAUUGUGUUUGAAUCAAGCCCUUAAGCCC
Long non-coding RNA from Epinephelus moara (kelp grouper), 1253 nucleotides. RefSeq lists it as uncharacterized. The record is from RefSeq and is a predicted model, not a curated record. The transcript has 2 exons. Lineage: Eukaryota; Metazoa; Chordata; Actinopteri; Perciformes; Serranidae.